Molecule: ribosomal RNA, 510 nt
Filed under: uncultured bacterium
Lineage: Bacteria
Description: partial 16S ribosomal RNA
Rfam family: Bacterial small subunit ribosomal RNA
Source: RNAcentral
GACGAACGCUGGCGGCGUGCCUAAUACAUGCAAGUCGAGCGAAUGAUGAGGAGCUUGCUCCUCUGAUUUAGCGGCGGACGGGUGGGUAACACGUGGGCAACCUGCCCUGUAGACUGGGAUAACUUCGGGAAACCGGAGCUAAUACCGGAUAAUUCUUUUAGCCUCAUGGCUUUAAGCUAAAAGGCGCUUCGGCGUCACUACAGGAUGGGCCCGCGGUGCAUUAGCUAGUUGGUGGGGUAACGGCCUACCAAGGCAACGAUGCAUAGCCGACCUGAGAGGGUGAUCGGCCACAUUGGGACUGAGACACGGCCCAAACUCCGACGGGAGUCAGCAGUAGGGAAUCUUCCACAAUGGACGAAAGUCUGAUGGAGCAACGCCGCGUGAGUGAUGAAGGUUUUCGGAUCGUAAAACUCUGUUGUAAGGGAAGAACAAGUGCGUUAGGUAAUGAACGCACCUUGACGGUACCUUAUUAGAAAGCCACGGCUAACUACGUGCCAGCCGCCGCAGUAA